AGCAGCAGAAGAGCUGUCAGCACAAGAAUGUGUGAGUUAGUUAAAAGAUACAAAUCACACCUAUGUGUAUUGCAUUUCAAUAAUCCUGGGAUAUUAGUCAUCUGCUUAAAGAAAUGCGUAAUCAUACUCCAGAAUGCAGAGGAUCGACCUCACAACCUGCUGCAUCUUCUUCGUCGAUGUUGCCUUUCUUAAGUCGCAAGGAAAUAUAUUUUUGCAAGCAGA
This 222-nucleotide long non-coding RNA is filed under the name Populus trichocarpa (black cottonwood). Its description in RNAcentral is "long non-coding RNA (PTRI_LNC003297)". The record is from RNAcentral. Lineage: Eukaryota; Viridiplantae; Streptophyta; Magnoliopsida; Malpighiales; Salicaceae.